CAGAUUAUGAAUCUACCGCUCUUAACCACUACACCACACUGGCUCUCAUUUCAAUGUUCCCUGACUGAAUCUGGAGAGCCAUUCCUGCCAGCCAGUGUGGACAAUACUGAGCUGGAUGGGCUACUGGUCUGAUUCAAUAACCAGAAACCCCAUCAUGAGUGGGCUAAUGAUGCGACUAACAUCCAUUCUGGUUUGGCCCUGGGAGGUCCGUGAGCCAGGUGUGAUGGAAACAGGCGACGCUGAAGUUGGUUCCUUCUCUGUGUGCAUGUUCAAAAUGCAGCUCCAUCAGCCAGAGGUUUGCUUCAGCAGCCAUUCUUCAGAGCGGGAGAGGGACUUGGACCCACUCCCGUUUCUGUUGGACUACAACUCCCAGAAUCCUUGACCAUGCUGCAAAAAGUUCCUUACUACAAAAGGUCUGGGUUUGGGGGAGAUGGCAGUGCAGGCUUUUUCUGCAUGAGCCGUAAUCAGUGUUAACUGUGCAACCUGCAUUUCUAGGUAACUUCUACAAAGAGAAGACAAAAGGGUAUAUAAAAGAGCCUCUGUACCAUAAGUGUACCUGGGCAAUUCCUGCUUGAGACACCAAGGGUGUCCCUUUGUGAUCUGCCACGGAGUUGCAGGUGCCACAUAACUCUUCUUUUGAACCUGUAAGUAAAAAUAUUUUACUGUGGCAGCACCUAGCCUUUGAGACUCCCUGCCUCUUGACAUCAGGCAGGCACCUUCUCUGUUUUCUUUUCAGCACCUAUUUAAAAUAUAUUUGCAUAGGCACUCCUAUCCAGAUAUGUAGAAUGCUGAAAUGUGUUAAUCUAUUUUUGCUUACUGUUGAUUUCAAUAAUCUCUUGAAUAUUUAUCAAUACCCAUUUUAAAAUAUUGUCUAUUGAGAAUUUUAA
This is a long non-coding RNA of Podarcis muralis (Common wall lizard), 887 nucleotides long. RefSeq lists it as uncharacterized. Lineage: Eukaryota; Metazoa; Chordata; Lepidosauria; Squamata; Lacertidae. The record is from RefSeq and is a predicted model, not a curated record.